This 312-nucleotide ribosomal RNA is filed under the name uncultured soil bacterium. RNAcentral's name for it is "bacterial SSU rRNA". It matches the Rfam family "Bacterial small subunit ribosomal RNA", at positions 26 to 337 of the family's 1533-position model. The record is from RNAcentral.
AGGACGAACGCUGGCGGCGUGCUUAACACAUGCAAGUCGAACGGUGAAGGAGAGCUUGCUCUCCGGAUCAGUGGCGAACGGGUGAGUAACACGUGAGUAACCUGCCCUUGACUCUGGGAUAAGCGUUGGAAACGACGUCUAAUACCGGAUACGAGCUUCAGCCGCAUGGCUAGGAGCUAGGAAAGAAUUUCGGUCAAGGAUGGACUCGCGGCCUAUCAGCUAGUUGGUGAGGUAAUGGCUCACCAAGGCGACGACGGGUAGCCGGCCUGAGAGGGUGACCGGCCACACUGGGACUGAGACACGGCCCAGACU